Molecule: ribosomal RNA, 468 nt
Filed under: uncultured bacterium
Lineage: Bacteria
Description: partial 16S ribosomal RNA
Rfam family: Bacterial small subunit ribosomal RNA
Source: RNAcentral
GACGAACGCUGGCGGCGUGCUUAACACAUGCAAGUCGAACGGAAAGGCCCUGCUUUUGUGGGGUGCUCGAGUGGCGAACGGGUGAGUAACACGUGAGUAACCUGCCCUUGACUUUGGGAUAACUUCAGGAAACUGGGGCUAAUACCGGAUAGGAGCUCCUGCUGCAUGGUGGGGGUUGGAAAGUUUCGGCGGUUGGGGAUGGACUCGCGGCUUAUCAGCUUGUUGGUGGGGUAGUGGCUUACCAAGGCUUUGACGGGUAGCCGGCCUGAGAGGGUGACCGGCCACAUUGGGACUGAGAUACGGCCCAGACUCCUACGGGAGGCAGCAGUGGGGAAUAUUGCACAAUGGGCGGAAGCCUGAUGCAGAAACGCCGCGUGCGGGAUGACGGCCUUCGGGUUGUAAACAGCUUUCGACUGUGACGAAGCGUGAGUGACGGUAAUGGGUAAAGAAGCACCGGCUAACUACGUG